UUUUCUUUUUACGUUUCCUUUCCUUCCUUUCUGUCGCCAUCCGCUUUCUUUUCCCUCCCAAAUUAACAGGUGAAAAUCCCCACUGGAAAAGCUCGACAUUCACCAUCGCCACGUGUACCAACGAUCACAUCUACCUAGGAGGAUGAACAUGGCACGUCAGUGUCCUAUCACUCUGCCUGCUUCUUAAUCAAGCUCGCAAAAACCAUAUUUAAAGCUUUCAGCUUUAUACCUUCAUUCCUAUACUCAAUCUGUCAAUCAUGCAGAGGUUCAUUUCCCUCCGCUUCAAAUCUGUUUCGUCAAAAUCUUCUGUCUUCUCUAUAUCGCCUUUCUCCGCUUCGCUAAAUUCUCAUCUCUCCAAUUCAAUUAGCUCAUCUGACAACCACUCUCAAUCCAAUAUAUCUAAAUCUCCUUCGAAUUAUUCCAGUUUCGCUUAUCAAUCGCAAAUUCUAAAUCGUAAUCAGGACAAUUUGCGGAAUUUUGAUAGAAAUAGGGGUUUUAUCAGGAAUUUUAGCGAUGGAACGGCUCGAGAUUCUAUGGAAUAUGAUGUUGUGAUUGUUGGAGCUGGACCGGCUGGCUUGUCGGCUGCAAUAAGAUUCAAGCAAUUGUGCCGUGAAAAGGGUGCGGAUUUAUCCGUCUGUGUUCUUGAAAAAGGCGCUGAAGUGGGUGCGCACAUCAUAUCUGGGAAUGUGUUUGAGCCCCGGGCAUUAGAUGAGCUUCUCCCACAGUGGAAACAGGAAGAGGCACCAGUCACUGUCCCUGCUUCUUCUGACAAGUUUUGGUUUCUUACAAAAGAUCGUGCCUAUUCACUUCCAUCUCCCUUUGAUAACAAGGGGAAUUAUGUUAUAAGUUUAAGUCAAUUAGUACGAUGGAUGGGAGUAAAAGCUGAAGAAUUUGGAGUGGAAAUAUAUCCAGGCUUCGCUGCUAGUGAGGUACUAUAUGAUGCAAAUGACAGUGUCAUUGGAAUUGCAACUAAUGAUAUGGGAAUUGCCAAAGAUGGUUCUAAGAAGGAGAAUUUUCAGCGUGGUGUAGAAUUAAAAGGUCGAGUAAUUCUUUUAGCUGAAGGUUGUCGAGGAUCAUUGUCAGAGAAACUAAUUAGAAAAUACAAAUUGAGAGAGAAGGUCAAUGCUCAACAUCAGACUUAUGCUUUGGGAAUCAAAGAGGUUUGGGAAAUUGAUGAGAGCAAGCAUAAGCCCGGUGCAAUUCUUCACACAUUAGGUUGGCCUUUGGAUCGAAAAACAUAUGGGGGAUCAUUUCUGUAUCACAUGAAAGAUAGACAGGUUUCGAUAGGCCUAGUGGUCGCUUUGAAUUAUCGGAAUCCUUACUUGAGCCCUUAUGAGGAAUUCCAGAAACUUAAGCAUCAUCCAGCCAUCAAGCCACUUCUGGAAGGUGGAACUGUCAUUCAAUAUGGGGCUCGCACUUUAAAUGAAGGCGGUAUUCAGUCUAUUCCAUAUCCAGUUUUCCCGGGAGGAGCAAUUAUUGGAUGUUCUGCUGGCUUCAUAAAUGUACCAAAAAUAAAGGGUACACAUACUGCUAUGAAAUCAGGAAUGCUAGCAGCAGAAGCUGCAUUUGGCACUCUUCAUGAAGGCUCAAAUUUGGAAUUGUAUUGGGAAACUUUAAGGAAUUCAUGGAUAUGGGAAGAAUUGCACAAAGCUCGUAACUAUCGACCUGCAUUUGAGUAUGGGCUUAUUCCUGGAAUGGCAAUAAGUGCAUUAGAACACUAUAUAUUGAAAGGAAAGUCCCAAUUCACACUGAAACAUGGGAAACCUGAUCAUGAAUCAACAGAUCUUGCUCAGCUACACUCUGCUAUCGAAUAUCCAAAGCCAGAUGGGGUGUUGUCUUUUGAUAUACCAACCUCUUUGCACAGGAGCAACACAAAUCAUGAACAUGACCAGCCAGCCCAUCUUCUUUUGAGGAACCCCACGAUUCCUGAGCUAGUGAAUUGGCCAGAGUAUGCUGGACCAGAAUCAAGAUAUUGUCCUGCUCGUGUAUAUGAGUAAUGUAUGUCUCAGAUGACCAGACUCCGCCAAAGUUACAGAUCAAUGCUCAGAAUUGCUUACACUGCAAGGCAUGCGAUAUCAAGGACCCAAAGCAAAACAUCGAGUGGACAGUGCCAGAAGGAGGUGGAGGUCCAGGAUACUCAGUAAUGUAGAUUUUAGUACUAACCAUUUCUGCAAAUUCUUACAUUUUAUGUAUAGGACUUCAAAGUUUAAGCAAUACAAUAAUCUAAAAAAUAAAAGCAAACUCAAAUAAUUGUCGGUCACAUUGUACAGGUGAAGAACAAAAUUGAAAUUUAAUUGCACCUGCCAUAUCGAUUGAAUUGAUCCUAUUUAUGUAUUAUGUCAUUUAAGCAUGAAAACGGUUUGCUGACUGGAAGAAAA
Molecule: RNA transcript, 2378 nt
Organism: Jatropha curcas
Lineage: Eukaryota; Viridiplantae; Streptophyta; Magnoliopsida; Malpighiales; Euphorbiaceae
Gene: ETFQO
Gene name: electron-transfer flavoprotein:ubiquinone oxidoreductase
Source: RefSeq, a predicted model, not a curated record